RNAcentral lists this ribosomal RNA (274 nucleotides) under uncultured bacterium. RNAcentral's name for it is "partial 16S ribosomal RNA". It matches the Rfam family "Bacterial small subunit ribosomal RNA", at positions 523 to 796 of the family's 1533-position model. The record is from RNAcentral.
AUACGGAGGAUCCAAGCGUUAUCCGGAUUUAUUGGGUUUAAAGGGUCCGCAGGCGGACUAUUAAGUCAGUGGUGAAAGUCUGCAGCUUAACUGUAGAAUUGCCAUUGAUACUGAUAGUCUUGAGUGUGGUUGAAGUGGGCGGAAUAUGACAUGUAGCGGUGAAAUGCAUAGAGAUGUCAUAGAACACCGAUUGCAAAGGCAGCUCACUAAACCAUUACUGACGCUCAGGGACGAAAGCGUGGGUAGCGAACAGGAUUAGAAACCCUAGUAGUCC